UGAGGAAUAUUGGUCAAUGGGCGAGAGCCUGAACCAGCCAAGUAGCGUGAAGGAUGACUGCCCUAUGGGUUGUAAACUUCUUUUAUAAAGGAAUAAAGUCGGGUAUGGAUACCCGUUUGCAUGUACUUUAUGAAAAAGCAUCGGCUAACUCCGUGCC
RNAcentral lists this ribosomal RNA (157 nucleotides) under uncultured bacterium. RNAcentral's name for it is "partial 16S ribosomal RNA". It matches the Rfam family "Bacterial small subunit ribosomal RNA", at positions 355 to 509 of the family's 1533-position model. The record is from RNAcentral.